UUCCAGACUCCUACGGGAGGCAGCAGUGGGGGAUAUUGGACAAUGGGGGGAACCCUGAUCCAGCGACGCCGCGUGAGUGAAGAAGUAUUUCGGUAUGUAAAGCUCUGUCAGCAGGGAAGAAAGAAAUGACGGUACCUGACCAAGAAGCCCCGGCUAACUACGUGCCAGCAGCCGCUGUAAUACGUAGGGGGCAAGCGUUAUCCGGAAUUACUGGGUGUAAAGGGAGCGUAGACGGUUAAGUAAGUCUGGAGUGAAAGGCCGGGGCCCAACCCCGGGACUGCUCUGGAAACUAUUGAACUUGAGUGCAGGAGAGGUAAGCGGAAUUCCUAGUGUAGCGGUGAAAUGCGUAGAUAUUAGGAGGAGCACCAGUGGCGAAGGCGGCUUACUGGACGAUCACUGACGCUGAGGCUCGAAAGCGUGGGGAGCAAACAGGAUUAGAUACCCCUGUACAA
This 452-nucleotide ribosomal RNA is filed under the name uncultured bacterium. Its description in RNAcentral is "bacterial SSU rRNA". It matches the Rfam family "Bacterial small subunit ribosomal RNA", at positions 329 to 793 of the family's 1533-position model. The record is from RNAcentral.